Molecule: long non-coding RNA, 646 nt
Organism: Oncorhynchus nerka (sockeye salmon)
Lineage: Eukaryota; Metazoa; Chordata; Actinopteri; Salmoniformes; Salmonidae
Exons: 2
Source: RefSeq, a predicted model, not a curated record
GGGAGUUGCUGUCAGAGACACUGGCCGGUCAGUGUUUGCUGUUGCCUGGGAUAAUAGCUUACACGGGUUAACGUUCUUCACUCAUUGCUGCCCGGACUAUGAUUUGAAUUAGUAACCUAUGAAACGGUUUGUUGAGCAGGCUGCCAGUAAAUAGCCCUGUGCGAAAGGAGAGGAGCACUCGGUUACAGGCCACUGUAGCACUUAACCUUUACACACUUCAUCACACCGCUCCCCGUGACCCUCCUGUACACUCGGAGCUGUUCAGAGUUUUGCAAUGUCUCUGUUGAAUAAUUGUAAAAAAUAUGACACGCCUGUAAUUCGCUAUAAGUUUGACUCCCUGGCAAUGGCAAGGACUGCCUUGUUCUUACUUAUGGGGUGUGUGGUGGGCUGCUGCAUGUACCCGUUCAUGUACCCGUUCAUGUACCCGUUCAUGUACCCGUUCUUCAAGAUUGAGUUUAUGGACACCGUCUACCACUGUCCUACCCGCAACGAUGUUCUGGUUAUAAUAAAGAAGUGAAGUGUGGCGCCGAUAUGGACCGGACCAAUGUAGCGGUUCCUAUCACCCUAAAAACCUAUUCAAACCUAUGUGCCUAUUCAAAAUGUAUUCCUUUGAACAUGUGUCAAUAAAAGACUGAACAGAAGCUCA